Ictalurus punctatus (channel catfish) is the source of this 3423-nucleotide long non-coding RNA. The record is from Ensembl. Lineage: Eukaryota; Metazoa; Chordata; Actinopteri; Siluriformes; Ictaluridae.
CGGUUAUUGCACUAGACAAGAUGAUAUCUUUUUCACGAAUGAAUGAGUGUGUGUGCAGUGUCUCUAUUUAUCCAGUUGGAGGCAGAACACGUCUGCUGUUCAGCUCCUUCAGCACCUUUUUAUUGUCACACCCACAGCCUGAAGAUUUCACACAUAAAUAUGCAUGACAAGACCACAGCACCGCAAGACAGCCUCAUGGUCUCAGAACAAGAGCAGAUAUUUCUCUGUCUUCUGUAGUGUAAGAAGUUAAUGCAUGAAGAGAAUGAGCAGACUAGAGGAAGCGAAGGGCCGAAUCACAGUGGUGGUGAAGGUUUAAAUGGUGGAUCUACUCUGAGAUGAAGAUUCAUAAAUACACAGUCAUCGUCAUCAUCUUUAGCCUUUUCUGUCCUAUCACAGUUCCUCCGGCUCUUAAUAAAGUGCAGAUCGUGAUUAUCAUCUCAUCACUCGGAAGUUUGCUUCUGCUUGGCGGUGUGAUAGUCAUCGUUUUAAAAUGCAGAAGGAAACGUCGGACUCAGGAGGAACCCAUUUACAGCAACAUAUAUUACAACACGAGGACAUGCAGAAAAAAGGUCACAGGUGACCAGAAGCAAACGAAAUCAUGAAAUUCAAUAAUUUUUCUUUAUACGUCUUUAUGACACUUAAAUGUUCAUAGCAUCUUGUAGGUUUGCAUGCAAGACCCGACCUGAAACAGAAACGUGUGCAUCUGUGGUUUUGGAGGCGGUUAUUUUAAGGGUCUGGUUCGUCUUUUGCAGUUGUCAGGAAAUUGUUUUACUUGCAUGUCUGCUGGGCACUGCAAACACAGCCCUCUUUUGUUCUCUUUUAUAUAUGUUGUAUCUACAAGAUGACUGUAUACUGGAUACUUUAAGACUUUCCAAAUGACUUUUUGUAAAGCAAAGACAAUCACACUUUAGAAUAGUAUGUACUUGUGGAUGUCUGUCUAUACUGUGAAAGAAAUAUGAAUCUUAUCUGUCUGAACUUAACCUAAUUUAGAGACUUUAAGGGUUCUUCAGGUGUCCCUCUGUGGGAAAGACAAAUACUGUAGAACCCUGCUUUGGAAGCACCCUAAAUUAUCCAAUGAACCUUUAAAGAACCCUUUGUUUUGUUUUUAAGAGUGUAUGUAGUAACUGUGUAAGUAUGUGGCGCAAAAUUCCAAAUCAUUGCUCUGUUUUUUGUUUGUUCUCAAAAAAAAAAAAAGGCCUAGAAAUGCCUUUUUAUUUUUAUUUUUUAAUUUUUUUGGAAGCUACAGUAGGAAACCUUAAUUAUCCAUUGAACCCUUAAAGAACCCUGAAGAAUCUAGAAGAAAACUGACUGAAUACUAAACCCCUGACUGGAUUGGUGCAUUAAGUAGAAAAUAAUAUAGCACAAUGUGGAGUUUGUACCACAAUCUUACCUCGUUAUUACAUACAGUACACGCGCUCUGAGAAACAAAGGGUUCCUCGGGGGUUCUUUCAGGGUUUAAUGGAAAAUUAAGGGCUCUGUUUUCUUCUUUUGUUUUGUUUUUUGUUUUUUUUUAGAUGUUAGUGAGUUUGUAAAGUGAAACUCACACAUUAGUGCGAGUUGUACUUCUGUAGCACUCACGCUACACUGAUGUGUUCAAAACAAAUAGAAUUGUGCCUGUAAGAGAAUAAGAUAAACACUGGAUUUAUGACUGAAGCGUAAAAUCCAAAAAGUCCAUGUAAAUUUACAACAAUGAAUUGUUUAUUCUGUCAUUUUUGACAAAUGAAAACUUUUUUUUUUGUGGCAGAUCGCAUGCUUUAGAAAAUGUAGGUGUUUUGUAAACGUUUUCAUUUUAAUAUGUAAUAGUUCAUUUUAACAUAGGGUUAGGGUUAGGGUUAGGUUUAGGGUCUAACACUAACCCUAACCCAGCACGUCUGUAUUACAUAGGAAAAAAACACACUCACUAUGUACGUGAGGUAAAACAUCACCUCAUUAUAGCGUCAUGUAUGAUUGCACACCCCUAUAUUUUGCUUGCCUGGAAACCUAAUUUUUUUAUCGAAUCAUUUAAGGAUCGCUAGUUAAGUGCAUUAAUACAGAGUAAAGAAAUAAAUGUUGUGUUCAAAACAAACGUACAGUUUUAUGCAAAAGUUUGGGCACUCCUGGGCAAAUUCAGUAAUUGAGGCAUGUCGCAAAAGUUCCGCUUGUAAGGUCUCAGAACUUGAGCUUGUUAGGCCUUAAUUAUCUGAUUGGGAUUAACUGUUAGCCAGGUCGAGACUUGUCAUUAGUAAUAACAAUUCCGUCGUCAUAACUCUUCAAACUACCCCGGGCUCCUCUAAGCAGCUGACUGAGCACCUGAAAAUCAAGCUAUUUUAGUUGAAGCCUACAAAACGGAGGAAGGCUAUAAAAUGUUUCUAGCUGAAAUGUCAUUAAUAAAUGGCGGUUAAGAAGAACUUUCGAAGUCAAAGUAAGAGUUGGAAGACUAAAAAAAAAUUCAAAUAAAACUCAGAUAAAACUGCCAAUAUGCAAAUCCUCCAAUGGCAAUAAAGACUUGCACGAAGGUUUAUCUGACCCAGGAGUGGUAGUGCACAUUUCUACUCAGAUCGUAUUUUGCAGUUGUGGUAGCAAAAUAUGAUCUGAAUGGAAGAGUUUUCAGAAUGAAACCUUGCCUCUGAUCUCAUCACAAAUAUCAAUCUCGGAGGUAUGCAGAAAAGAAAGCCCAAUGCAUUUUGGAAACAAGUCCUAUAGACUGAUGAAGUAAAAAUAGAAGUAUUUGGCCACAGUGACUAAAACGGUGGAUCGGUUAUGCUUAGGGGUUGUGUGGCAGCCAGCGGAAUAGGAAACAUUGCACAAGUAGAAGGAAGAAUGGAUUCCAGUAAAUUCCAGCUAAUUCUGGAAUGAAAUGUGACACAAUCAGUAAUGUCACUGAAUCUGAAAAGAGACUGACUUCUAUAACAGGACAAAACAUGCUUCAAAAUCCACCAUUUCAGACAAAAGGAAGACUUUUAACCUGUAAACAGGAUAUAGCAGACCACCUGUCUUAGAAAGUGUAGUGUAGGUGUUAUAAAAACAUAAAAGUGUGUCUGCACUCAUAAAUAGCUUCUCCACCCACAAUGACUGGUAACACACACACACACACACACACACACACACACACACACACACACAGGCAGGCCUCCUCUAACUGUGUGACCAAAAACCACCAAGUGCACAAGGUUCAAUAAGAGACCAGUGUUUACACUGGAUUAUGCAAGAUCUUUCCAACCUUCUUGGCUAAAUAAAGAGUUUUUAUUAAUAUGCCACUGAAUCUAAGCAAAAAGUUUGUUGUGCAUAAAAAUUGCAUGAAAUAAACACGAGGGAGACCAAGUAUGAUUAACAUGUAAGUUUAUUGAGGUUCACAGACUAAGUAUGAACAGCAUGUAAUUUUAUUGAGAAUUCACAGGGCAGGUGGGAGUGUAAUCCUGAGGGGAGCGGUAGGAAGAAAACGGG